GUCGAGAAUCUUCCCCAAUGGGCGAAAGCCUGAGGGAGCGACGCCGCGUGAGGGAUGAAGGCCCUUUGGGUUGUAAACCUCUGUUAGGGGGAAAGAAAAGCAGUGGAAGCAAUAUGUCCAUUGCCUGACGUUACCCCCAGAGAAAGCUCCGGCCAACUCCGUGCCAGCAGCCGCGGUAAUACGGGGGGAGCAAGCGUUGUCCGGAAUCAUUGGGCGUAAAGGGCGUGUAGGCGGCUUGGCAAGUCGAAUGUGAAAUCCCACGGCUCAACCGUGGAACUGCGUUCGAAACUGCCUUGCUUGAGUGCGGGAGAGGUGUGCGGAAUUCCUGGUGUAGCGGUGGAAUGCGUAGAUAUCAGGAAGAACACCGGUGGCGAAGGCGGCACACUGGCCCAGCACUGACGCUGAGGCGCGAAAGCGUGGGGAGCGAACGGGAUUAGAUACCCUGGUAGUCC
Molecule: ribosomal RNA, 452 nt
Filed under: uncultured bacterium
Lineage: Bacteria
Description: partial 16S ribosomal RNA
Rfam family: Bacterial small subunit ribosomal RNA
Source: RNAcentral